Molecule: ribosomal RNA, 470 nt
Filed under: Aphyosemion tirbaki
Lineage: Eukaryota; Metazoa; Chordata; Actinopteri; Cyprinodontiformes; Nothobranchiidae
Description: partial 16S ribosomal RNA
Rfam family: Bacterial large subunit ribosomal RNA
Source: RNAcentral
AACGGCCGCGGUAUUUUGACCGUGCAAAGGUAGCGCAAUCACUUGUCUUUUAAAUAGAGACCUGUAUGAAUGGCAUAACGAGGGCUUAACUGUCUCCUUUCUCCUAUCAAUGAAAUUGAUUUCCCCGUGCAGAAGCGGGGAUAGUAACAUAAGACGAGAAGACCCUAUGGAGCUUAAGGCGCAAGAACAGAGCAUGUAAAUUCUUCCAACUAAAACAAGAAACCUAUUGAAACCCUGUUCAAAUGUCUUUGGUUGGGGCGACCACGGAGUAUAAAAAAACCUCCAUGAGGAAUGAAGAUAGUUCUUUCCAUCCAAGGGUGACAACCCUAAGAACCAGAAUUUCUGACCACUUGAUCCGGCUAAGCCGAUCAACGAACCGAGUUACCCUAGGGAUAACAGCGCAAUCCUCUUUUAGAGCCCAUAUCGACAAGAGGGUUUACGACCUCGAUGUUGGAUCAGGACAUCCUAAU